AUAGGACCAUAGAAUGUUGUAUAAUUCAUCGGUCCAUUGUCUUUUGGCUUGAUUUAACAUUAUCUUCAGGCCUUGUAAUAUGGUUCUAUUGGUUAGUUCAGCUUUUUCAUUUAAUUAUGGAUGUCCACCCAAAAUAAGUCUGUGAAUGAUAUGGAAUUUUGUAUUGAACUCUUCAAAUUUAAUAUUAUUGAAUUGUCGGCCA
This 202-nucleotide long non-coding RNA is filed under the name Elaeis guineensis (African oil palm). Its description in RNAcentral is "long non-coding RNA (EGUI_LNC056749)". Lineage: Eukaryota; Viridiplantae; Streptophyta; Magnoliopsida; Arecales; Arecaceae. The record is from RNAcentral.